UGUGGCCGUUCACGCAACCGUACGGGGAGCGCCAGUUUCCUAGGUUGGAAACACGGACAGUCAGAGCAGUGACAACCUUUGCCCACCCCUGUCUUCACUAAAGAAAGCCAUCAAAACCAUCAGCCAAGCCAUGAAAGCCAUCAGCCAAGCCAUGAAAGCCAUCAGCAAGCAUCAAACGUCGACAUACCAGCACUGGACAGCUGUUUCGGCCUUCUUCGGCCUCUUCCGCAGUGCGCAGGCCGGCAACAUUUGAGAGGGUGGCGUCAGAAGGUCACGUAGCACGUGAUAUCCUCCCGUCAGGGUGAGAGACUCACCACUGAAAGCCUUGUGCAAAGCCAGUGAUAUAUGUACGCACUGCGCACUGCUGAAUAUGUGCGAAUAAACUGCUGAUAUGUGCA
This is a long non-coding RNA of Ornithodoros turicata, 398 nucleotides long. RefSeq lists it as uncharacterized. Lineage: Eukaryota; Metazoa; Arthropoda; Arachnida; Ixodida; Argasidae. The record is from RefSeq and is a predicted model, not a curated record. The transcript has 2 exons.